GAUGAACGCUGGCGGCGUGCCUAAUACAUGCAAGUCGAGCGAACAGACGAGGAGCUUGCUCCUCUGACGUUAGCGGCGGACGGGUGAGUAACACGUGGAUAACCUACCUAUAAGACUGGGAUAACUUCGGGAAACCGGAGCUAAUACCGGAUAAUAUAUUGAACCGCAUGGUUCAAUAGUGAAAGACGGUUUUGCUGUCACUUAUAGAUGGAUCCGCGCCGCAUUAGCUAGUUGGUAAGGUAACGGCUUACCAAGGCAACGAUGCGUAGCCGACCUGAGAGGGUGAUCGGCCACACUGGAACUGAGACACGGUCCAGACUCCUACGGGAGGCAGCAGUAGGGAAUCUUCCGCAAUGGGCGAAAGCCUGACGGAGCAACGCCGCGUGAGUGACGAAGGUCUUCGGAUCGUAAAACUCUGUUAUUAGGGAAAAACAAAUGUGUAAGUAACUAUGCACGUCUUGACGGUACCUAAUCAGAAAGCCACGGCUAACUACGUG
RNAcentral lists this ribosomal RNA (497 nucleotides) under uncultured bacterium. RNAcentral describes it as "partial 16S ribosomal RNA". It matches the Rfam family "Bacterial small subunit ribosomal RNA", at positions 28 to 507 of the family's 1533-position model. The record is from RNAcentral.